AUAUCAAUAAGCGGAGGAAAAAGAAACUAACAAGGAUUCCCCUAGUAACUGCGAGUGAAGCGGGAAAAGCUCAAAUUUGAAAUCUGGCAGUUGUUGACUGUCCGAGUUGUAAUCUAGAGAAGUGUUACCUGUGCUGGACCGUGUACAAGUCUCCUGGAAUGGAGCAUCAUGGAGGGUGAGAAUCCCUCUUUGACACGGACUGCCAGGGCUUUGUGAUGCGCUCUCAAAGAGUCGAGUUGUUUGGGAAUGCAUG
This 253-nucleotide ribosomal RNA is filed under the name uncultured Bolbitiaceae. RNAcentral's name for it is "partial large subunit ribosomal RNA". It matches the Rfam family "Eukaryotic large subunit ribosomal RNA", at positions 40 to 285 of the family's 3401-position model. Lineage: Eukaryota; Fungi; Basidiomycota; Agaricomycetes; Agaricales; Bolbitiaceae. The record is from RNAcentral.